This is a long non-coding RNA of Daphnia magna, 952 nucleotides long. RefSeq lists it as uncharacterized. Lineage: Eukaryota; Metazoa; Arthropoda; Branchiopoda; Diplostraca; Daphniidae. The transcript has 2 exons. The record is from RefSeq and is a predicted model, not a curated record.
GACUUACACUUUUAACGGAUUUUUUUUUUAACGAAGAAUCCCUUUGAGUAAUAACCAGAUGAGAAAAUCUAAAUACUCGCCUCUUAAUCUUGAAGGCCCUCUAGCGAUACCAUUCGUGACGAUCUAAAAAAACCGGAAAGCUGAUCGGUAAAAAAAAAAAAAAAAACUAACAGAAAAGAAAUUAAAGAAAUUAAAUCAAAAUGUUAAACAUCGCUUUUUAAUUAAACGUUUCUUAAAAGUGCAAUCCUGGCUAAGGUCACAUACCUCUUACGUCUUACCUCAAAAGUACAUUUUACUUGGGAAAAGCACCGGUUGAUUGUUGUAUAGGCAUACAGUAGGGAAGGGGUUUAGCAACAAAAUCAUCGUUGCUUAGAAAGUGGAUCAAGCAACAGUAAUAAAUUUCACGUUUCAUAAAAUUUUGGAGGUUUAAUUCAAAAGUUAGGAGAAACCGCCAAAUCUUUCAGAUCUGAAACUUCGAAGCUGUAUUUCAUACAACAUGUUUUCUAUUACUGCUUACAACAUUGGCUUUACUUGCCGAUAAACUCGUUAUUUUUACAUAAAACUCAGAGGCUUUAUUAAAUCGCCUGCCAUUUCCGUUUUAGUAUGAACAUGAUGAAUACCACUUUAACAAAACUACUAAACAAAAUGCAAACACUAUUUUCCCCCUAUUGUGUAUAAAUCCUUUAGGGUGUUUCAGCAAAUGGUACUUUUCCACUCCCUCAUUUUAAUUAAUUUGUAGUAUUUUCUUCGCUUUCUAGCAUGAUUUGAACAGAUGAACAGCGAGCUUUCGUUUUCCCUUUCACUAAAUAUGGUGAUGCAAUCUUGCUUAUUUAUAAAGUAUGGCUGAAAGUUUUCUUUGGAGCUUAUGUAUUCAUUCCAAGUCUUUGAAAGUUGUGAUCUUUUCGAAAUUCGUGUCACCCCAAUACACAUACUAGACGUGUGCUUAAAUCAU